AGUGAACGCUGGCGGUAGACCUAACACACGCAAGUCGAACGGCAGCACAGUAAGAGCUUGCUCUUACGGGUGGCGAGUGGCGGACGGGUGAGGAAUACAUCGGAAUCUACUUUUUCGUGGGGGAUAACGUAGGGAAACUUACGCUAAUACCGCAUACGACCUACGGGUGAAAGCAGGGGAUCUUCGGACCUUGCGCGAUUGAAUGAGCCGAUGUCGGAUUAGCUAGUUGGCGGGGUAAAGGCCCACCAAGGCGACGAUCCGUAGCUGGUCUGAGAGGAUGAUCAGCCACACUGGAACUGAGACACGGUCCAGACUCCUACGGGAGGCAGCAGUGGGGAAUAUUGGACAAUGGGCGCAAGCCUGAUCCAGCCAUACCGCGUGGGUGAAGAAGGCCUUCGGGUUGUAAAGCCCUUUUGUUGGGAAAGAAAAGCAGCAGGUUAAUACCCCGCUGUUCUGACGGUACCCAAAGAAUAAGCACCGGCUAACUUCGUG
This 492-nucleotide ribosomal RNA is filed under the name uncultured bacterium. RNAcentral's name for it is "partial 16S ribosomal RNA". It matches the Rfam family "Bacterial small subunit ribosomal RNA", at positions 29 to 507 of the family's 1533-position model. The record is from RNAcentral.